GACGAACGCUGGCGGCGUGCUUAACACAUGCAAGUCGAACGGGCCUUGUCCCCUUUUUUUUUGGGGGUGGGGUUAGUGGCGAACGGGUGAGUAACACGUGAGUAACCUGCCCCUCACUUCUGGAUAACCGCUUGAAAGGGUGGCUAAUACGGGGUGUUCUGGCCUGCUCGCAUGGGUGGGUUUGGAAAGAUUCGACCGGUUUUGGUUGUUUUGGUGGGGGAUGGGCUCGCGGCCUAUCAGCUUGUUGGUGGGGUGAUGGCCUGCCAAGGCUUUGACGGGUAGCCGGCCUGAGAGGGUGGGCGGUCACACUGGGACUGAGACACGGCCCAGACUCCUACGGGAGGCAGUAGUGGGGAAUAUUGCACAAUGGGCGCAAGCCUGAUGCAGCGACGCCGCGUGAGGGAUGGAGGCCUUCGGGUUGUGAACCUCUUUCGCCAGUGAAGAAGGUCCUGCUCUUUGUGGUGGGGUUGACGGUAGCUGGGUUAAUGAAGCGCCGGCUAACUACGUG
This 508-nucleotide ribosomal RNA is filed under the name uncultured bacterium. Its description in RNAcentral is "partial 16S ribosomal RNA". It matches the Rfam family "Bacterial small subunit ribosomal RNA", at positions 28 to 507 of the family's 1533-position model. The record is from RNAcentral.